RNAcentral lists this ribosomal RNA (451 nucleotides) under uncultured bacterium. RNAcentral's name for it is "bacterial SSU rRNA". It matches the Rfam family "Bacterial small subunit ribosomal RNA", at positions 43 to 524 of the family's 1533-position model. The record is from RNAcentral.
CAGGCCUAACACAUGCAAGUCGAACGAGACUUUUGGUUUACCGAAAGUUUAGUGGCGGACGGGUGAGUAACGCGUAAGAACCUACCUUUUGGUUGAGGGAUACCAGCUGGAAACGGUUGCUAAUACCUCAUAUGCUGAGAAGUAAAAGGUGGAAACAUCGCCAGGAGAGGGGCUUGCGUCUGAUUAGUUAGUUGGUGAGGUAAAAGCUUACCAAGACUAUGAUCAGUAGCUGGUUUGAGAGGACGAUCAGCCACACUGGGACUGAGACACGGCCCAGAUCCCUACGGGGAGCAGCAGUGAGGAAUCUUCCGCAAUGGGCGAAAGCCUGACGGAGCACUAUCGCGUGGAGGAAGACAGCUCGUGAGUUGUAAACUCCUUUUGUCAGAGAAGAAAAAUGACGGUAUCUGACGAAUAAGCAUCGGCUAAACUCUGUGCCAGCAGCCGCGGUAAU